RNAcentral lists this ribosomal RNA (138 nucleotides) under Salmonella enterica subsp. enterica serovar Typhimurium. Its description in RNAcentral is "partial 23S ribosomal RNA". It matches the Rfam family "Bacterial large subunit ribosomal RNA", at positions 2790 to 2925 of the family's 2925-position model. Lineage: Bacteria; Pseudomonadati; Pseudomonadota; Gammaproteobacteria; Enterobacterales; Enterobacteriaceae. The record is from RNAcentral.
AAGCCCCCCUUAAGAUGAGAUUUCCCAUAGCGUCAAGCUAGUAAGAUCCCUGAAAGAUGAUCAGGUUGAUAGGUCAGAGGUGGAAGCAUGGUGACAUGUGGAGCUGACUGAUACUAAUCGAUCGAGGACUUAACCAUA